AUUGCCCCAGUAACGGCGAGUGAAGCGGCAACAGCUCAAAUUUGAAAUCUGGCCCCCAGGGUCCGAGUUGUAAUUUGCAGAGGAUGCUUUUGGCGAGGUGCCUUCCGAGUUCCCUGGAACGGGACGCCAUAGAGGGUGAGAGCCCCGUCUGGUUGGACACCGAGCCUCUGUAAAGCUCCUUCGACGAGUCGAGUAGUUUGGGAAUGCUGCUCUAAAUGGGAGGUAUAUGUCUUCUAAAGCUAAAUAUUGGCCAGAGACCGAUAGCGCACAAGUAGAGUGAUCGAAAGAUGAAAAGCACUUUGAAAAGAGGGUUAAAUAGUACGUGAAAUUGUUGAAAGGGAAGCGCUCAUGACCAGACUUGGGCCCGGUGAAUCAUCCAGCGUUCUCGCUGGUGCACUUUGCCGGGCUCAGGCCAGCAUCAGUUUGCUCCGGGGGAUAAAGGCUUUGGGAAUGUGGCUCCUCCGGGAGUGU
Molecule: ribosomal RNA, 471 nt
Filed under: Keithomyces cf. carneus
Lineage: Eukaryota; Fungi; Ascomycota; Sordariomycetes; Hypocreales; Clavicipitaceae
Description: partial large subunit ribosomal RNA
Rfam family: Eukaryotic large subunit ribosomal RNA
Source: RNAcentral